This 121-nucleotide ribosomal RNA is filed under the name Microcebus murinus (gray mouse lemur). The record is from RNAcentral. Lineage: Eukaryota; Metazoa; Chordata; Mammalia; Primates; Cheirogaleidae.
GGCAACAGCUGUACCACCCUGAAUGUGCCUGAUCUUGUCUGAUCUCAGAAACUUAAACAAGGCUGGGCCUGGUUAGUACUCAGAUGGGAGACCUCUUCUGAAAAUGAUGGUCUUCUGGGCA